GCGUUGUUCGGAUUCAUUGGGCGUAAAGCGUGCGUAGGUGGCCUGUUAAGUCUGAUGUGAAAGCCCCGGGCUCAACCUGGGAAUUGCAUUGGAUACUGGCAGGCUAGAGUGCGGUAGAGGGUAGUGGAAUUCCCGGUGUAGCAGUGAAAUGCGUAGAGAUCGGGAGGGACAUCUGUGGCGAAGGCGGCCAUCUGGGCCAGCACUGACACUGAGGCACGAAAGCGUG
RNAcentral lists this ribosomal RNA (226 nucleotides) under uncultured bacterium. RNAcentral describes it as "partial 16S ribosomal RNA". It matches the Rfam family "Bacterial small subunit ribosomal RNA", at positions 538 to 763 of the family's 1533-position model. The record is from RNAcentral.